GACGGAGGAUGCAAGCGUUAUCCGGAAUUAUUGGGCGUAAAGCGUCCGCAGGUGGCCUAUCAAGUCUGCUGUCAAAGACCGGGGCUUAACCCCAGAAAGGCAGUGGAAACUGAAAAGCUAGAGAUAGGUAGGGGCAGAGGGAAUUCCCAGUGUAGCGGUGAAAUGCGUAGAGAUUGGGAAGAACACCAGUGGCGAAGGCGGCUCACUGGUCCGGUACUGACGCUGAGGUGCGAAAGCGUGGGAGCAAACAGG
This 252-nucleotide ribosomal RNA is filed under the name uncultured bacterium. RNAcentral describes it as "partial 16S ribosomal RNA". It matches the Rfam family "Bacterial small subunit ribosomal RNA", at positions 524 to 776 of the family's 1533-position model. The record is from RNAcentral.